Non-coding RNA from Macrolepiota fuliginosa MF-IS2, 86 nucleotides. The record is from the annotation of a GenBank genome assembly. Lineage: Eukaryota; Fungi; Basidiomycota; Agaricomycetes; Agaricales; Agaricaceae.
UCCUUCUUAGCUCAGUUGGUAGAGCGCGUCACUAGUAUUGCUUAGCGACUACGACGAGGCCAGUCGUUCAAGUCGGCUAGAAGGAA